AAAAAAAAAAGAAAAAAAGAAGAAAAAAAAAUUGAGGGGGAGAGGGGGAGGAAGAAAAAGCAAAAUGCCAUGAGUUGCAUUGAUUCAUAUUUUCUUAAAUUCACAUUUUUUAAUUAUUUUACAACAUUGGCCACUCACAUUAUAUCUAAAUCCUCAUAGAGCAUGAAUUUUGAAUAUCUUCAUCAGAAAAUCUAUCAGAAUUACAUAGUGAUAUCAUAAAUCAUUUCAAAUUCUAGUGUUCUAACUCUAAAAAAUAUUGACUAAAUUUCACUAAACAAGAAACAGACCUACAAAAUAUUAAUCCUUAGCAAUUCGGUAAUUUAAGAAUUGCACCCGAAAUUAUAACCCUCAUGUUCUUCUUCAAGCAGAAGGAAAGCUACAAAUGCACAAAUAUCAAACAAAAGCACUAAGUAACUGCACACA
RNAcentral lists this unclassified non-coding RNA (423 nucleotides) under Hevea brasiliensis (rubber tree). Lineage: Eukaryota; Viridiplantae; Streptophyta; Magnoliopsida; Malpighiales; Euphorbiaceae. The record is from RNAcentral.